RNAcentral lists this ribosomal RNA (253 nucleotides) under uncultured bacterium. RNAcentral's name for it is "partial 16S ribosomal RNA". It matches the Rfam family "Bacterial small subunit ribosomal RNA", at positions 524 to 776 of the family's 1533-position model. The record is from RNAcentral.
UACGGAGGGGGCUAGCGUUGUUCGGAAUUACUGGGCGUAAAGCGCACGUAGGCGGCUUUGUAAGUUAGAGGUGAAAGCCCUGGGCUCAACUCCGGAAUUGCCUUUAAGACUGCAUCGCUUGAAUUGUGGAGAGGUAAGUGGAAUUCCGAGUGUAGAGGUGAAAUUCGUAGAUAUUCGGAAGAACACCAGUGGCGAAGGCGACUUACUGGACACAUAUUGACGCUGAGGUGCGAAAGCGUGGGGAGCAAACAGG